RNAcentral lists this ribosomal RNA (448 nucleotides) under uncultured organism. RNAcentral describes it as "partial 16S ribosomal RNA". It matches the Rfam family "Bacterial small subunit ribosomal RNA", at positions 333 to 797 of the family's 1533-position model. The record is from RNAcentral.
ACACUCCUACGGGAGGCAGCAGUGGGGAAUAUUGGACAAUGGGCGCAAGCCUGAUCCAGCCAUGCCGCGUGAGUGAUGAAGGCCCUAGGGUUGUAAAGCUCUUUCACCGGAGAAGAUAAUGACGGUAUCCGGAGAAGAAGCCCCGGCUAACUUCGUGCCAGCAGCCGCGGUAAUACGAAGGGGGCUAGCGUUGUUCGGAAUUACUGGGCGUAAAGCGCACGUAGGCGGAUCGAUCAGUCAGGGGUGAAAUCCCAGGGCUCAACCCUGGAACUGCCUUUGAUACUGUCGAUCUGGAGUAUGGAAGAGGUGAGUGGAAUUCCGAGUGUAGAGGUGAAAUUCGUAGAUAUUCGGAGGAACACCAGUGGCGAAGGCGGCUCACUGGUCCAUUACUGACGCUGAGGUGCGAAAGCGUGGGGAGCAAACAGGAUUAGAAACCCCAGUAGUCCCA